This 1163-nucleotide long non-coding RNA is filed under the name Numida meleagris (helmeted guineafowl). RNAcentral describes it as "lncRNA (ENSNMEG00000008114.1)". Lineage: Eukaryota; Metazoa; Chordata; Aves; Galliformes; Numididae. The record is from RNAcentral.
CUCUGCUCUGCAGCCUUGCUUUGCAACCUCUUGUGCAACCUUGCUCCGCAGCCCUAUUCUGCUGCCCUGUUCUGGAGCACGGUUCCACAGCCUUGCUCUACAGCCUUGAUUUGCAACCCUGUUCCGCAGCCUUGCUCUGCAUCCCCCAUCCCUGUGCCACAGCUGUGCUCCGCAGCCUUGCUCUGCAACCCUGUUCCGUAGCUUUUGGUCUUCAGCCUUGCUUUGCAGCCCCAUUGUUCAGUCCUUCUUUGCAACCUUGCAACAGUCUUGUUCUGGAGUCCCGUCCUGCAGCCCUUCUCUCGAACCCUGUUCCACUGCCUUGCUCUGCAGCCCUUCUUUGCAACUGCUGCUGCGCAACCUCGCUCCACAGCCUUGCUCCGCAUCCCAGUCCCAUAGCACCUUCACUGUGCAUCCUCGUUCCACAACCUUGGUUUGCAAUCUCACUCUACAUCCCUGUUUUGCACCCCUAUUUUGCAUCCCUGCUCUCACCCCCAUUCUGCAGCCCUGCUCUGCACCCCACAUUGCAGCAGGGCAGGAUGAAGCUCCCAGGCCUGGAGAUGAUCAUUGCUGCAUCCCUGGGGACACUGUCCUCAGACCCCAAGACAGUCCCAGACCCUGGGAUGUCCCCAGCCCCUGCAGCCCCCUGGGACACCCCCAGCCCCAGGUUUGCUGACCUCAGGAAAGCAGCUGUGGGGACACACAGGGAACGGAGCACCCUCCCUGCACUCUGGAAGCAACUGCUGUACGUGGCUGUCCCACAGCAGCUCUGCAGCCCAGCAGCACCAUAACACCUUGGCUCAUGAUCACCGAGAGCCAGGGGCAGGGGACCUGGUGCAACCAAAGCAGAGCUGCCCGUGGGGUCUGUGCCUGCGGGAUCCCUGCACCCAGCAGCACUGCAGCUCCACACGGGCCCUGCGCUGCUCGGAGCGAUUGGGGUAUUAAUGAAAUUUAUGAGUCAGAGCGAGCGAGAGAAACUGUUUUCAGCUGACUUCACUCACCACUUCCUCCCCACUGCUCGGCUCUGCUGGCAGCCCACUUAUCUUCCCCUGGAGCGCUGCCCACCUCCUCGGCCCCGAUACGCCCCUAUCGCCGCGCCCCGAGCGCUCAGCACCGGCGCUGAGUUUGCUCACUCACUCACUCGAGCACUCUCAAGUUGUUCUCUG